RNAcentral lists this ribosomal RNA (465 nucleotides) under uncultured bacterium. RNAcentral's name for it is "partial 16S ribosomal RNA". It matches the Rfam family "Bacterial small subunit ribosomal RNA", at positions 28 to 507 of the family's 1533-position model. The record is from RNAcentral.
GACGAACGCUGGCGGCGUGCUUAACACAUGCAAGUCGAACGGAAAGGCCCCUUUUGGGGUACUCGAGUGGCGAACGGGUGAGUAACACGUGAGUAACCUGCCCUUGACUUCGGGAUAACUUCAGGAAACAGGGGCGAAUACCGGAUAGGAAUCCUUGCUGCAGGGUGGGGGUUGGAAAGCUUCGGCGGUUUUGGAUGGACUCGCGUCGUAUCAGCUUGUUGGUGGGGUAGUGGCUUACCAAGGCUUUGACGGGUAGCCGGCCUGAGAGGGCGACCGGCCACAUUGGGACUGAGAUACGGCCCAGACUCCUACGGGAGGCAGCAGUGGGGAAUAUUGCACAAUGGGCGGCAGCCUGAUGCAGCAACGCCGCGUGCGGGAUGACGGCCUUCGGGUUGUAAACCGCUUUCAGCAGGGGCGAAGCUUGUGGUGACGGUACCUGCAGAAGAAGCACCGGCUAACUACGUG